Magnolia sinica is the source of this 575-nucleotide long non-coding RNA. RefSeq lists it as uncharacterized. The record is from RefSeq and is a predicted model, not a curated record. The transcript is spliced from 4 exons. NCBI's taxonomy places the organism in Eukaryota, Viridiplantae, Streptophyta, Magnoliopsida, Magnoliales, Magnoliaceae.
UUUAGGUUUAGGUUAAGGUUGAGGUUUAGGUUAUAGGUUAAGGUUUUAGGUCAUAGGUUUUGGUUUAGGUUAAGGUUAUAGAUUUAGGUUAAGGUUUAGGUUUAGUUUUAGGUUUAGGUUUAGGUUUAGGUUAUAAGGUAUAGGUUUAGGGAAUUGAGAAUAGGUUAAGGUUUAGGUUUACGAAAUUGGGUUCGGGUUCGGGAUCGGGUUUAGGUUUGGGUUUUUAAGUUUGGGUUUAGGUUUAGGUUAGGGAGUUGAGAUUAGGAUUAGGUGUAGGUUUAGGUUUAGGGAUUUGAGAAUACAUUUAGGUUUUGGUUUUAGGUUUAGUUUUAGAUUAUAGGUUAAGGUUUAGGGUAAGGUUAGGUUAGAGGUUAUAAGUUUAGGUUAUAGGUUAUAGGUUAAGGUUUUAGGUCAUAGGUUUUGGUUUAGGUUAAGGUUAUAGGUUUAGGUUAAGGUUUUAGGUCAUAGGUUUUGGUUUAGGUUAAGGUUAUAGGUUUAGGCUAAGGUUUUAGGUCAUAGGUUUUGGUUUAGGUUAAGGUUAUAGGUUUAGGUUAAGGUUUAGGUUUAGGUUUAGG